This 240-nucleotide ribosomal RNA is filed under the name uncultured bacterium. Its description in RNAcentral is "partial 16S ribosomal RNA". It matches the Rfam family "Bacterial small subunit ribosomal RNA", at positions 28 to 266 of the family's 1533-position model. The record is from RNAcentral.
GACUAACGCUGGCGGCGUGCCUAACACAUGCAAGUCGAACGAGAAAGCGGUAGCAAUAUCGCGAGUACAGUGGCGAACGGGUGAGUAACACGUAAACAAUCUGCCCCUAAGUGGGGGAAAACCUGGGGAAACCCGGGCUAAUCCCCCGUAAGGUAACGAGGAUGCAUGUUCUUGUUAUUAUAGAUUUAUCGCUUAGGGAGGAGUUUGCGUCUGAUUAGCUAGUUGGCGGGGUAAAGGCCC